GAGCGGACAGAUGGGAGCUUGCUCCCUGAUGUUAGCGGCGGACGGGUGAGUAACACGUGGGUAACCUGCCUGUAAGACUGGGAUAACUCCGGGAAACCGGGGCUAAUACCGGAUGCUUGUUUGAACCGCAUGGUUCAAACAUAAAAGGUGGCUUCGGCUACCACUUACAGAUGGACCCGCGGCGCAUUAGCUAGUUGGUGAGGUAACGGCUCACCAAGGCGACAAUGCGUAGCCGACCUGAGAGGGUGAUCGGCCACACUGGGACUGAGACACGGCCUAACUCCUACGGGAGGCAGCAGUAGGGAAUCUUCCGCAAUGGACGAAAGUCUGACGGAGCAACGCCGCGUGAGUGAUGAAGGUUUUCGGAUCGUAAAGCUCUGUUGUUAGGGAAGAACAAGUGCCGUUCAAAUAGGGCGGCACCUUGACGGUACCUAACCAGAAAGCCACGGCUAACUACGUGCCAGCAGCCGCGGUAAUACGUAGGUGGCAAGCGUUGUCCGGAAUUAUUGGGCGUAAAGGGCUCGCAGGCGGUUUCUUAAGUCUGAUGUGAAAGCCCCCGGCUCAACCGGGGAGGGUCAUUGGAAACUGGGGAACUUGAGUGCAGAAGAGGAGAGUGGAAUUCCACGUGUAGCGGUGAAUGCGUAGAGAUGUGGAGGAACACCAGUGGCGAAGCGACUCUCUGGUCUGUAACUGACGCUGAGGAGCGAAAGCGUGGGGAGCGAC
RNAcentral lists this ribosomal RNA (723 nucleotides) under Bacillus sp. DBT16. RNAcentral describes it as "bacterial SSU rRNA". It matches the Rfam family "Bacterial small subunit ribosomal RNA", at positions 64 to 772 of the family's 1533-position model. Lineage: Bacteria; Bacillati; Bacillota; Bacilli; Caryophanales; Bacillaceae. The record is from RNAcentral.